CAGCACCUCAAGUGGUCAGGAUGAUUAUUGGGCCUAAAGCAUCCGUAGCCGGCGCUGUAAGUUUUCGGUUAAAUCUGUACGCUCAACGUACAGGCUGCCGGGAAUACUGCAGCGCUAGGGAGUGGGAGAGGUAGACGGUACUCGGUAGGAAGGGGUAAAAUCCUUUGAUCUAUUGAUGACCACCCGUGGCGAAGGCGGUCUACCAGAACACGUCCGACGGUGAGGGAUGAAAGCUGGGGGAGCAAACCGGAUUAGAGACCCGUGUAGUCC
This 270-nucleotide ribosomal RNA is filed under the name uncultured archaeon. Its description in RNAcentral is "partial 16S ribosomal RNA". It matches the Rfam family "Archaeal small subunit ribosomal RNA", at positions 477 to 747 of the family's 1478-position model. The record is from RNAcentral.